UACGUAGGUUGCAAGCGUUGUCCGGAUUUACUGGGCGUAAAGCGCGCGCAGGCGGUCCUGAAAGUCGAAUGUGAAAGCUCCCGGCCCAACUGGGAGAGGCCGUUCGAAACUUCAGGACUUGAAGGUGGGAGGGGCAGAUGGAAUUUCCGGUGUAGCGGUAAAAUGCGUAGAUACCGGAAGGAACACCAGUGGCGAAAGCGAUCUGCUGGCCCGCCCUUGACGCUCAGGCGCGAAAGCUAGGGGAGCGACCGGG
This 253-nucleotide ribosomal RNA is filed under the name uncultured bacterium. Its description in RNAcentral is "partial 16S ribosomal RNA". It matches the Rfam family "Bacterial small subunit ribosomal RNA", at positions 524 to 776 of the family's 1533-position model. The record is from RNAcentral.